RNAcentral lists this long non-coding RNA (793 nucleotides) under Homo sapiens (human). RNAcentral's name for it is "non-protein coding lnc-NR3C1-2:1". The record is from RNAcentral. Lineage: Eukaryota; Metazoa; Chordata; Mammalia; Primates; Hominidae.
UGUGACACGUAGCAACGGGGCUGGUUCAGGGUCUGAAACAGAGUUUGGGGGUUGUUUGGGAUUAGUGAAGCUACUGCCUUUGCCGCCAGCGCAGCCUCAGAGUUUGAUUAUUUGCAAUGUCAGGCUUUGAAAACUUAAACACGGAUUUCUACCAGACAAGUUACAGCAUCGAUGAUCAGUCACAGCAGUCCUAUGAUUAUGGAGGAAGUGGAGGACCCUAUAGCAAACAGUAUGCUGGCUAUGACUAUUCGCAGCAAGGCAGAUUUGUCCCUCCAGACAUGAUGCAGCCACAACAGCCAUACACCGGGCAGAUUUACCAGCCAACUCAGGCAUAUACUCCAGCUUCACCUCAGCCUUUCUAUGGAAACAACUUUGAGGAUGAGCCACCUUUAUUAGAAGAGUUAGGUAUCAAUUUUGACCACAUCUGGCAAAAAACACUAACAGUAUUACAUCCGUUAAAAGUAGCAGAUGGCAGCAUCAUGAAUGAAACUGAUUUGGCAGGUCCAAUGGUUUUUUGCCUUGCUUUUGGAGCCACAUUGCUACUGGUAAGAUUUUCAUUUCAACCUUCAGGGUGCAAUUAAAGAACAGCCUUUAAAUUUUAAAUGUUCUACCAAAAGCCAUUUUGAAACUCCGCUUUACACCUCAAGUCUUUGAUGUGUUUGGAAUAGUACUGAGUUGCUUGUAUUUAUACCUAUUCAUUAGUUCUCCAUCUAUAGUAAGUGUAGCAUGUUUUAAAAAUCAUUUCUUUUUCUAAGAAAUGAUUAAAUUAUUAGGGGAAAAAACAAAAAAAAAA